AUUCUUGUCUUCCGAUCAUCUUGCAUAUAUUUUUUUGUAAUUAAGUUGUAUAUGCCAUCUUUGCCCCAUGCCCCCACUGAAUAUUUCAAAGAAAAAUAUGGAUGCAAAUUUUGGUUGCACAAAAUAUUCUUGGUGUAUUUUUGCAUAUUAAAGCCCAUAUUACCAUUCCUUGCCAAUGAUUCUGUGAAGGCGCCCAAGCUGGCCAAAUCAGUGCGUAUUGUUAAAAGCAAUACUAUAUUUUCAUUUUGAAUUAACUUUGCUCCUGUUCCACAUGGAAAUUCCAUUUGUUUCUUUUAGAUUGUGGAUAUCCCUGUAAUUUGGUAAUUAUGGAAUGAUAAUUAACCAUUUGGUAAAAGACUACCCGUGAAAAGGAGUAAGUCAGAGAGUGAAAGUUUCCCCAAAUCAUGGCAGACUAGGCUAAAAGCAGAGGGCAUGGUAGGAUAGAGGUACAUUAAUGGUUGAUGCUAGAUAUUUUUGAAGCAAGUCCAUUUUCAGGAAACAUGCAUAAUUUAUCCUAAUUCUUGCCAUCACAUAGGUGUAGAAGGGCUAUAGACCAUAUGUACUGUCUAAAGAAAUUCACCCGUGGGGACUUUUUUUUUCAAAGCCACUUUUAGACAUUUCAUUCUCUGCUCCUUUAACAUCAUCCUCCACUUUAGAGACCCGUGAAAUCAAUGUAAUCCUCUUCUUGCUUUCUCUCUCUCUCUCUAAGCAAAAUAAAACUGUGAUGUGUCUUCUUGUAAAAUUUAGGUAUACAAUGCUAUGCAAGCUUUUCUUUAUAGUGAGAGCUUUAUUUUCGUUAAUAAUAUACCCCAACUUAUAUGUUUUAAUCUCCCUCAUCCCUCAGAAUAGGCAGAAAAAUAUAACUGCAGUGAUAAUGUUAUAGACAAAAGCAUUAAAACUGUGCAGUCAAUAGACCUGAACAUAGUUAUGAAUUAAUUUAAUUAAUUCUAAAAUGACUCGGGUUUCCCCUUUAGUCUAUUAGCUCAAGGGUUUGGGCUGUUGGUUUCUGUAAAAGUAGGUUCACACAGUAAAGGGAUAAUACCAUCUGGAACAAUGAUCAGUGUAGAGUUACAUCAUCUAAAACCAGGACAGUAAUGUGGGGCUCUAUGUGGUAGCUGGAUGUUUCCCUUUCAAUGUCCUCAUGCCUCUCACUUUGUAGGUAAAACUGUGUGCUGAAAAUAUAAUGGUACUUUGAUUAUUUUGAGGAUUUUUAUUUUCUUAUAUAAGAAGAAAAUCAUUAUUGUCUCUUGGUAUUGCAUAUUUAACUCUCAGUGGUAUUUGGGACUGUGGAAAUGUCUUCUUUGUCCCAAGAGGAACGAGAGUGGAGUGAUUCCCACAAUAUUGUAUGGUGUCCACAACACUACUGGGAGUCCAAGUGGUACUGGGGAGGGCCAGUCAUGUGAAACAAUUAGGGUGCUCUCAAAAUUGCUCUGGUAGAAGGUAUUUCUGAAACCGAGUCUUUAUUUUGAUCUCAUAAACAACAUGGGACGGGCAUCUACCAUGAAAAUCAGUACCUAUCCAUAGUACUGUGCUUGAGGGACUCGCCUACAUCAGAUUAGAAAUCACCUCAUGGAAUCUAUACUAGCAUAUGAAAAUUUG
RNAcentral lists this long non-coding RNA (1599 nucleotides) under Mus musculus (house mouse). RNAcentral describes it as "long non-coding RNA chr12:95782008-95783607". Lineage: Eukaryota; Metazoa; Chordata; Mammalia; Rodentia; Muridae. The record is from RNAcentral.